UACGGAGGGUGCAAGCGUUGUCCGGAUUUAUUGGGUUUAAAGGGUGCGUAGGCGGCUUCAUAAGUCCGUGGUGAAAGCCAACAGCUCAACUGUUGAACUGCCAUGGAUACUGUGAGGCUUAAGUACAGACGAGGUAGGCGGAAUGGAUCGUGUAGCGGUGAAAUGCAUAGAUACGAUCCAGAACACCGAUUGCGUAGGCAGCUUACUAGGCUGUAACUGACGCUGAGGCACGAAAGCGUGGGGAGCGAACAGG
This 253-nucleotide ribosomal RNA is filed under the name uncultured bacterium. Its description in RNAcentral is "partial 16S ribosomal RNA". It matches the Rfam family "Bacterial small subunit ribosomal RNA", at positions 524 to 776 of the family's 1533-position model. The record is from RNAcentral.